UACCCUGAGCAGCAGCCUGGGGAGGAUGCUUGUGAGAGCAGAACGGGUUUUGCCUACCCAUUGAGGAGAAUGGAAAGAUGAUGGUAUGUGCAAGCCAUAAAUGAGGACUCAUCACCGCGUUUCCCAAAGGCUUGCUUGACCUCCAGCCUGGAUGGAGACAUCCAUGGGGUGGGAGAUUGGACCACGCAGCCAGGACCAUCCCAGAUGUCAACACCAGAAGCUGCUUUUUUGUCCUGAACCCUCCAAAAACCG
Molecule: long non-coding RNA, 252 nt
Filed under: Gallus gallus (chicken)
Lineage: Eukaryota; Metazoa; Chordata; Aves; Galliformes; Phasianidae
Source: RNAcentral